UACGUAGGGGGCAAGCGUUGUCCGGAAUCAUUGGGCGUAAAGCGCGUGUAGGCGGCCAGAAAAGUCCGCUGUGAAAACUCGAGGCUCAACCUCGAGCUGUCGGUGGAAACUUUCUGGCUAGAGUCCGGAAGAGGAGAAUGGAAUUCCUGGUGUAGCGGUGAAAUGCGCAGAUAUCAGGAAGAACACCCGUGGCGAAGGCGGUUCUCUGGGACGGUACUGACACUGAGGCUCGAAGGCCAGGGGAGCAAACGGG
This 253-nucleotide ribosomal RNA is filed under the name uncultured bacterium. Its description in RNAcentral is "partial 16S ribosomal RNA". It matches the Rfam family "Bacterial small subunit ribosomal RNA", at positions 524 to 776 of the family's 1533-position model. The record is from RNAcentral.